UACUACAGUAGCUGAUAUUGUUUCAGUUGUAAACUCAGUCAUAGAUGAUGUAUUCUGCUCUGCUGUUGUUGAAGAAACCGGAGAUGGAGAGGUACCGGUUGUGUAUAGUGUUUCCAUUGUAGAAGAUUUCGAUGUGAUUGUAGUCCCAGUGGACUCUUCUGUUGUGAAGGAUGUUGAUUCUGGUAUUGUGGGGGAACUAUCAGGACUGGUUAGUUCUACAGUAGCUGAAGUUUCUGUUGUAAACUCAGUCAUAGAUGAUGUAUUCUGCUCUUCUGUUGUUGAAGUUACCGGAGAUGGAGAGGUACCUGUUGUGUAUAUUGUCGUUUCCAUUGUAGAAGAUUCUGAUGUGAUUGUAGUCCCAGUGGACUCUUCUGUUGUGAAGGGUGUUGAUUCUGUUAUUGUGGGGGAACUAUCAGAAUUGGUUUGUGUCUGUUGGCUUGUGGUUAGUUCUACAGUAGCUGAUAUUGUUUCAGUUGUAAACUCAGUCAUAGAUGAUGUAUUCUGCUCUUCUGUUGUUGAAGUUACCGGAGAUGGAGAGGUACCUGUUGUGUAUAGUGUUUCCAUUGUAGAAGAUUCAGAUGUGGUUGUAGUCUCAGUGGACUCUUCUGUUUUGAAGGGUGUUGAUUCUGGUAUUGUGGGGGAACUAUCAGGAUUGGUUUGUGUCUGUUGGCUUUUGGUUAGUUCUACAGUAGCUGAAGUUUCUGUUGUAAACUCAGUCAUAGAUGAUGAAUUCUGCUCUUCUGUUGUUGAAGUUACUGGAGAUGGAGAGGUACCUGUUGUGUAUAUUGUUGUUGCCAUCGUAGAAGAUUCCGAUGUGAUUGUUGUCCCAGUGGACUCUUCUGUUGUGAAGGGUGUUGAUUCUGGUAUUGUGGGGGAACUAUCAGGACUGGUUUGUGUCUGUUGGCUUGUGGUUAGUUCUACAGUAGCUGAUGUUGUUUCAGUUGUAAACUCAGUCAUAGAUGAUGUAUUCUGCUCUUCUGUUGUUGAAGUUACAGGAGAUGGAGAGGUACCUGUUGUGUUUAUUGUAGUUUCCAUCGUAGAAGAUUCCGAUGUGAUUGUAGUCCCAGUGGACUCUUCUGUUGUGAAGGGUGUUGAUUCUGUUAUUGUAUGGGAACUAUCAGGACUGGUUUGUGUCUGUUGGCUUGUGGCUUGUUCUACAGUAGCUGAUGUUAUUUCUGUUGUAAACUCAGUCAUAGAUGAUGUAGUCUGCUUUUCUGAUGUGGAAGUUCCUUGAGAUGUAGAGGUACCUGUUGCGUAUAGUGUAGUUUCCAGUGUUGGACCAGUUUUCUUUGUAGAUGUUUCAAAUGAGGUCACAGGGAACUCGUCUGUUGUAAGUGAUGUAGAUUCUGUUUUUGUGGUACAAAUAGUAGGGCUGUUUUUUGUCUGUUGGCUUGUGGUUUUUUCAGCAGUAGCUGAAGAUAUUUCAGUUGUAAACUCAGAACAUUGAUCUGUUGUGAAUAAAGUAGUUUUAGUCGUAGUAUACCAAAUUAUUUAUAACAUUUAAUUAUAGAGCUGUGAACAACUGCACAUUUAACAUACCAUGGAUUAAUAAUUGCAUGAGUUUUACCAAGAUAACAUCAGUCUUUGUACUAGAUUGAUGCUACUGUAUAACAGCUACUAUCAAUCAUUUUAAGUUUUAAAAUGUGCUAUUAUUUUAGAUGAUUACAAAGAUUGUUUUAUAUUGAAGACAUUGGGUACAUUAUGAACUGUACUUGUAUUACUGGAAGAUGUGAAUUGAAUUGUUCAAUCGUUCAUAUAUUACACAAUUCCACUUAAAGAAUAGCCAGUUUCUAUUGUAGUUUCAGUGUCUUUGUUUAUCUUAAGCCAUUAUCAUUUUUGGUUGUCACAUUCAUCUUUUAACUCCAACAUACAUUUUAGAUUGAUUAAAAUGUGGAGAUAAUCAUUAAAAUUCUGUAGAAACUUACCUGUGUUUGCUCCAAUGCAGAUGAAAUGCAGCAGCAGAAGUAAGGCAAUAAAGUGCAGUAUUUUCCAUAAAUACAUGUUUAGAAAGUUCCUGUAAGAUGGUUGUUUUUGUUUGAAAUGAAAAUGAUUUAGCCAAUUGCAAAUGCACCAGCCAUCAGUGUGUCUCCUCUGUUAAAUUUCAACAUCAACCAGCAACAAGAUGUGUGCAUGCUCCCUGCAAACAAUAAAUGUCAUAAGGUAUGGCCUCUUUUGCAUUAAAAACCAUGUUCACACCUUAAGUAAACCACAGUACGCUGAUUGGAAGUUUAUGUGGUUUUGAAAGGUCAGAACAGUUAUAUGACCUUGUCUUCUUGUUACACCCUUCCCAAGAAAUGAGAAAAACAUAUACUUUCACUUUUUCAUUUGUUUGUCUUUUUCAAAAUAGUAUUUGCUCUCAGUUGUGAUAUGUACAUUUAAGACAAUAAGAUCUGUUUAACCAGACAUUAGGAAAGAUUGUGUACACACAUUACAAUAAACCACCAAAGUUUUACAGUAAGUUCAGUGCCAAUUUCAGUUUCAUUCACUGCAUUUUAUUUAGAAAAUCUGUGCUUGUACUGUUAUCUAACUAAUUUUUGCUAAUUAUAAAUGAUUUAAGGUACUGAAUACAGCAUAGUUAAACAACAUACAAACAAAAAAAGCCAAUUACCUGAAAGUUAAACAUAGUUAGAUCCAAUAAAGUUGUUUCUCAACAAUAUAAUCCAGGUGAUUAGAAUCUCUGAAAGCAGUGAUUUCUUGUUUACUUAUAUUUGAAGUAUAUUUUUGUUUUGUUUUGUAGCCUAAUAGACGAUGGACUGGAAAAUCACUCUAUAAUAUUUCACUCUAUCAUGUUACAACCCUUCAGGAACUAAUAGGUUGAACAGUUAAUCCUGCAAACGUAACCGCUUGUUUGAACCAGUCAGAAUACAGGAAAUAAACUGAUAUGUUUCAGAAGUUGCUGUGUGGUUGCUAUGUUAUCUAUAGACAUUGAUGGGUCACUCCUUCAAUGUAGGUCUGUGUGUUAUCGUAUGCCAAAAGUCGUAAAUCAGCACCACUCUUCAACAAGUCAUAGGAUUUUGGGUAGCACUCAUGUCCAUCACUUGAACAAUGCAGUUCCUGAAACAUAAUACUUAAUAUUGUAAUACUUGGUAACGUUGGUUUCUUUUGUUCUUAUGACGUUCUAUAAAAAGCAGUGCUCACUUUGUUUUAAUGAAUUUCGCAUGGCAACCACAGGAAAACAAUGGCAUUAAAUAUGCUCUUGGCAUUAAAUAUGUUCUUGACCUAUGGUCACGUUCUCCACACCUGUUUGCUAUUUCAAAAUGUUUUUGAGUCAUAG
Danio rerio (zebrafish) is the source of this 3274-nucleotide long non-coding RNA. Lineage: Eukaryota; Metazoa; Chordata; Actinopteri; Cypriniformes; Danionidae. The record is from Ensembl.